RNAcentral lists this unclassified non-coding RNA (254 nucleotides) under plant metagenome. RNAcentral describes it as "partial contains small subunit ribosomal RNA, internal transcribed spacer 1, and 5.8S ribosomal RNA". The stretch from base 206 to 254 matches the Rfam family "5.8S ribosomal RNA", at positions 1 to 49 of the family's 154-position model. The record is from RNAcentral.
UUUCCGUAGGUGAACCUGCGGAAGGAUCAUUAAUGUGUUUGGGCCUCACGGCUCUUCAUUCCGACGCUGUGCGCCUUCGGGCUGCACGCUGAGGGAGCAUAUAUCCACCCCUGUGCACACACACGGUGGCGAGCUGGGUAACGGCUCGCCGCUGAUCUUUACACACGUCUAAAAGUCAUUGUAUGUUUAUUUGAGAUAAAAACACAACUUUCAGCAACGGAUCUCUUGGCUCUCGCAUCGAUGAAGAACGCAGU